This 253-nucleotide ribosomal RNA is filed under the name uncultured bacterium. RNAcentral's name for it is "partial 16S ribosomal RNA". It matches the Rfam family "Bacterial small subunit ribosomal RNA", at positions 524 to 776 of the family's 1533-position model. The record is from RNAcentral.
UACGUAGGUGGCAAGCGUUAUCCGGAUUUAUUGGGCGUAAAGAGAACGCAGGCGGUCUUUUAAGUCUGAUGUGAAAGCCUUCGGCUUAACCGGAGUAGUGCAUUGGAAACUGGGAGACUUGAGUGCAGAAGAGGAGAGUGGAACUCCAUGUGUAGCGGUGAAAUGCGUAGAUAUAUGGAAGAACACCAGUGGCGAAAGCGGCUCUCUGGUCUGUAACUUACGCUGAGGUUCGAAAGCGUGGGUAGCAAACAGG